UAAUUCUUCGCUUGUUACUAAUUAUUUAAAAAAAUGCUCUUAUGACAACUAUUGGACAACACCUAGGGGGAUUUCCUUUUGAGCGGAGCUUUCCGAGGCCCUUGUGGAUUUUAUCUUGCAACACCGAUUAUGAAAUAUAUUUUUGAUUAAAAAAAAUCCCCCUUCCUCGUUUAAUUGUGCCGCGUACUUCAACGUUCCACACACACAGUGUUUUCGGGGUACAGGGAGGGGAAGCGGGCAUACGUGGAAAUUACUGGGUCACAUGCGGGGCUCGCGAGUGACGGGCGAAAAAAAAAUCGAUCGGCGGUCGCGUCGUUAUCUAUUUGCGACGCGAUGGAGUCGAUAACCGUCCAGUUACGUCGAGUUUUACGUCCAUUCGAGUCAUGGGGUGCAGCGCGACGCGGGGCGUCGUCGAACCCGACGACGGGCGUCUCUACCAAAACGGGACGAGGGACCUCUCCGAGGCUGCGCGGGUCCCCCGAGACGUGGAGCUCCUCGAAGACGACGUCCAUGACGUCCACGAGGCCGCCCACGGAUUGGCGUACGAUAUAAGCUUCGACGAAGACGACGACGACGUCGGCGAGCGCUCGAGGCGACCUCCGAGGAGGCUGCUGAGACGGGAGGAGGCGACCGGCAGUCCGGUUACGUUGGAGAAGCUCCGGGAGAAACUGGAAGGCGCCGAAAUGAGACGCCAAAAGAUCCUUCAGGAGCGAAUAAGGUCCGCGAAUCAACUGUACAGUCACGUCAGACGUCGCAACGACAACGGCGACGUCGAGGACCGGGAAACGCUUCCCUGAACGUUCCCUUUCGUUUUUCUACGCCAUCAAAUGCACGGGUUUCGAUAUAAAACGAUAAAGUUCCGCACAUAAACGCUAGCAACUAUGCUCGUAUUAAACACAAAGCAUUUUGGACGAAAAAAUGGCCAUAAAUUCGAAAACACUCGGUGUAGACUAUCACAAGUAAGUAUAAGUAUUAAUGCCAUAAUAUACAUUAAAAAAUAUAAUAACAUUUAUUACUUUGACACGCAUGUAAACGUUAUUUGGAUGUCCUGUAUAAGCCCUGAAACAGCUAAUAAGAUGAUCGGCGAAACGUCAGCAGGAUCGAGUUAUCAACAACCCAGCAGAAGUUUCCUCUUUAAAUUGUUAAAUAAACAAUUAUUUUAUUCUAGCUUGCUUCAAGAGUUUUGUUCUUUUAACCGACCUAACACACUUUGCAGUUGCAAAAAAAAUGGGGAGAAAUUGUAGGUUCAUUUCGUGAUAUUUUUUAUUAUUUAUUUACUAAUUUUAAUUUCAAAGAACUGAAAAGACAUCCUGACAGAUUUUUUAAUUUUACGUUUUCUGUGUGCGCCAGAGUGCAAGAAAUGCACAUUUAUUUUUCGACACUUACUCAUUACUGUAUAGUAUGCUUGUUAGGUAGUUUUUUAGAGGAGAUAAUUGUAAUUAGUCUUCAGUUCCUGUUAUAA
Molecule: RNA transcript, 1462 nt
Organism: Cylas formicarius (sweet potato weevil)
Lineage: Eukaryota; Metazoa; Arthropoda; Insecta; Coleoptera; Brentidae
Exons: 5
Source: RefSeq, a predicted model, not a curated record